This 1621-nucleotide ribosomal RNA is filed under the name Escherichia coli. RNAcentral's name for it is "partial 23S ribosomal RNA". It matches the Rfam family "Bacterial large subunit ribosomal RNA", at positions 1292 to 2891 of the family's 2925-position model. Lineage: Bacteria; Pseudomonadati; Pseudomonadota; Gammaproteobacteria; Enterobacterales; Enterobacteriaceae. The record is from RNAcentral.
GAAUGCUGACAUAAGUAACGAUAAAGCGGGUGAAAAGCCCGCUCGCCGGAAGACCAAGGGUUCCUGUCCAACGUUAAUCGGGGCAGGGUGAGUCGACCCCUAAGGCGAGGCCGAAAGGCGUAGUCGAUGGGAAACAGGUUAAUAUUCCUGUACUUGGUGUUACUGCGAAGGGGGGACGGAGAAGGCUAUGUUGGCCGGGCGACGGUUGUCCCGGUUUAAGCGUGUAGGCUGGUUUUCCAGGCAAAUCCGGAAAAUCAAGGCUGAGGCGUGAUGACGAGGCACUACGGUGCUGAAGCGACAAAUGCCCUGCUUCCAGGAAAAGCCUCUAAGCAUCAGGUAACAUCAAAUCGUACCCCAAACCGACACAGGUGGUCAGGUAGAGAAUACCAAGGCGCUUGAGAGAACUCGGGUGAAGGAACUAGGCAAAAUGGUGCCGUAACUUCGGGAGAAGGCACGCUGAUAUGUAGGUGAAGCGACUUGCUCGUGGAGCUGAAAUCAGUCGAAGAUACCAGCUGGCUGCAACUGUUUAUUAAAAACACAGCACUGUGCAAACACGAAAGUGGACGUAUACGGUGUGACGCCUGCCCGGUGCCGGAAGGUUAAUUGAUGGGGUUAGCGGUAACGCGAAGCUCUUGAUCGAAGCCCCGGUAAACGGCGGCCGUAACUAUAACGGUCCUAAGGUAGCGAAAUUCCUUGUCGGGUAAGUUCCGACCUGCACGAAUGGCGUAAUGAUGGCCAGGCUGUCUCCACCCGAGACUCAGUGAAAUUGAACUCGCUGUGAAGAUGCAGUGUACCCGCGGCAAGACGGAAAGACCCCGUGAACCUUUACUAUAGCUUGACACUGAACAUUGAGCCUUGAUGUGUAGGAUAGGUGGGAGGCUUUGAAGUGUGGACGCCAGUCUGCAUGGAGCCGACCUUGAAAUACCACCCUUUAAUGUUUGAUGUUCUAACGUGGGCCCCUUACCGGGGUUGCGGACAGUGUCUGGUGGGUAGUUUGACUGGGGCGGUCUCCUCCUAAAGAGUAACGGAGGAGCACGAAGGUUGGCUAAUCCUGGUCGGACAUCAGGAGGUUAGUGCAAUGGCAUAAGCCAGCUUGACUGCGAGCGUGACGGCGCGAGCAGGUGCGAAAGCAGGUCAUAGUGAUCCGGUGGUUCUGAAUGGAAGGGCCAUCGCUCAACGGAUAAAAGGUACUCCGGGGAUAACAGGCUGAUACCGCCCAAGAGUUCAUAUCGACGGCGGUGUUUGGCACCUCGAUGUCGGCUCAUCACAUCCUGGGGCUGAAGUAGGUCCCAAGGGUAUGGCUGUUCGCCAUUUAAAGUGGUACGCGAGCUGGGUUUAGAACGUCGUGAGACAGUUCGGUCCCUAUCUGCCGUGGGCGCUGGAGAACUGAGGGGGGCUGCUCCUAGUACGAGAGGACCGGAGUGGACGCAUCACUGGUGUUCGGGUUGUCAUGCCAAUGGCACUGCCCGGUAGCUAAAUGCGGAAGAGAUAAGUGCUGAAAGCAUCUAAGCACGAAACUUGCCCCGAGAUGAGUUCUCCCUGACUCCUUGAGAGUCCUGAAGGAACGUUGAAGACGACGACGUUGAUAGGCCGGGUGUGUAAGCGCAGCGAUGCGUUGAGC